AUGGCUGUCGUCAGCUCGUGUCGUGAGAUGUUGGGUUAAGUCCCGCAACGAGCGCAACCCUUACUUUUAGUUGCCAUCAUUUAGUUGGGCACUCUGAAAGAACUGCCAGUGAUAAGCUGGAGGAAGGUGGGGAUGACGUCAAGUCCUCAUGGCCCUUAUGUGUUGGGCUACACACGUGCUACAAUGGUAUCUACAACAGGAAGCAAGAUGGCAACAUUUAGCAAAUCCUAAAAAGAUAUCUCAGUUCGGAUUGCACUCUGCAACUCGAGUGCAUGAAGCUGGAAUUACUAGUAAUCGUGGAUCAGCGUGCCACGGUGAAUACGUUCCCGGGUCUUGUACACACCGCCCGUCACACCAUGGGAGUUGGUUCUACCUUAAGGCAAAGUUUAAAACCUUUGACCACGGUAUAGUCAGCGACUGGGGUGAAGUCGUAACAAGGUAGCCGUAGGGGAACCUGCGGCUGGAUUACCUCCUUUCUAAGGAUGAAUAAAAGUAAAAUUUUAUUCUAAAUAAUAUACAGGCAAUGUUGACCGUCCUCAUUUCUCUUCUUAAAGCAGUGUUUCUCUUGCAUGUGGGCCGGUAGCUCAGUUGGUUAGAGCACACCCUUGAUAAGGGUGGGGUCGAAAGUUCGAGUCUUUCUCGGCCCACCAAAUUUAAAUGGGGGAUUAGCUCAGCUGGGAGAGCGCCUGAUUUGCAUUCAGGAGGUCAGCGGUUCGAUCCCGCUAUCCUCCACCAGAAGCACUUAGUUAUUAAAAUUGUAAAUAAAAAUAAUUAUUAUCAAUAUCUAUAUCCGAACAUUAAUUUUUUAAUUAAUGUUCAAAUAAAAAUUUGAAUUUUACACAGAAAAUUUUUUUCUGUGCAUAAAUCAAGCGUUUAAGGGCGUUUGGCGGAUGCCUUGGCACUGAAAGACGAUGAAGGACGUGGUAUACUGCGAUAAGUUUCGGGGAGCUGUAUGCAGGCUUUGAUCCGAAAAUUUCCGAAUGGGGAAACCCGG
RNAcentral lists this small RNA (994 nucleotides) under uncultured bacterium. Its description in RNAcentral is "bacterial SSU rRNA". The stretch from base 1 to 476 matches the Rfam family "Bacterial small subunit ribosomal RNA", at positions 1045 to 1533 of the family's 1533-position model. The record is from RNAcentral.